UUACCGAGUUUACAACUCCCAAACCCCUGUGAACAUACCACUUGUUGCCUCGGCGGAUCAGCCCGCUCCCGGUAAAACGGGACGGCCCGCCAGAGGACCCCUAAACUCUGUUUCUAUAUGUAACUUCUGAGUAAAACCAUAAAUAAAUCAAAACUUUCAACAACGGAUCUCUUGGUUCUGGCAUCGAUGAAGAACGCAGCAAAAUGCGAUAAGUAAUGUGAAUUGCAGAAUUCAGUGAAUCAUCGAAUCUUUGAACGCACAUUGCGCCCGCCAGUAUUCUGGCGGGCAUGCCUGUUCGAGCGUCAUUUCAACCCUCAAGCACAGCUUGGUGUUGGGACUCGCGUUAAUUCGCGUUCCCCAAAUUGAUUGGCGGUCACGUCGAGCUUCCAUAGCGUAGUAGUAAAACCCUCGUUACUGGUAAUCGUCGCGGCCACGCCGUUAAACCCCAACUUCUGAAUGUUGACCUCGGAUCAGGUAGGAAUACCCGCUGAACUUAAGCAUAUCAAUA
Molecule: ribosomal RNA, 508 nt
Filed under: Fusarium oxysporum
Lineage: Eukaryota; Fungi; Ascomycota; Sordariomycetes; Hypocreales; Nectriaceae
Description: eukaryotic LSU rRNA
Rfam family: 5.8S ribosomal RNA (bases 152-305)
Source: RNAcentral